GACGAACGCUGGCGGCGUGCCUAAUACAUGCAAGUUGAGCGAUGAAGAUUGGUGCUUGCCCCAAUUUGAAGAGCAGCGAACGGGUGAGUAACGCGUGGGGAAUCUGCCUUUGAGCGGGGGACAACAUUUGGAAACGAAUGCUAAUACCGCAUAACAACUUUAAACAUAAGUUUUAAGUUUGAAAGAUGCAAUUGCAUCACUCAAGGAUGAUCCCGCGUUGUAUUAGCUAGUUGGUGAGGUAAAGGCUCACCAAGGCGAUGAUACAUAGCCGACCUGAGAGGGUGAUCGGCCACAUUGGGACUGAGACACGGCCCAAACUCCUACGGGAGGCAGCAGUAGGGAAUCUUCGGCAAUGGACGAAAGUCUGACCGAGCAACGCCGCGUGAGUGAAGAAGGUUUUCGGAUCGUAAAACUCUGUUGGUAGAGAAGAACGUUGGUGAGAGUGGAAAGCUCAUCAAGUGACGGUAACUACCCAGAAAGGGACGGCUAACUACGUG
This 497-nucleotide ribosomal RNA is filed under the name uncultured bacterium. RNAcentral's name for it is "partial 16S ribosomal RNA". It matches the Rfam family "Bacterial small subunit ribosomal RNA", at positions 28 to 507 of the family's 1533-position model. The record is from RNAcentral.